AUGGACGCGCGGUUCGCGCACUCGCCGGCGGAGGCGGCGAAGGUGCAGCUGGUGCAGUUCGGCAUCCUCAGCCCCGACGAAAUCAGGCAAAUGUCGGUGGCCGUGAUAGAGCAUGCAGAGACCAUGGAGAAGGGGAAGCCCAAGCCUGGUGGUUUGAGCGACCCUCGCCUGGGCACCAUUGACCGGAGGACCAAGUGCGAGACAUGCAUGGCCGGGAUGGCAGAGUGCCCGGGCCACUUCGGCCACCUCGAGCUCGCAAAGCCCAUGUUCCACAUCGGCUUCAUCAAGACCGUGCUCUCCAUCAUGCGCUGCGUCUGCUUCAACUGCUCCAAGAUCCUCGCUGAUAAGGGUAAUAACAAGUUCAAGCAGGCUCUGAAAAUCAAGAACCCAAAAAAUAGAUUACGAAAAAUACAGGAGGCUUGCAAGAGCAAAAAGGUUUGUUCUGCGGGUGAGGAUGAUCUUGAGGGUCAGGACACCAAUGAGCCAGUGAAGAAAAGAGGUGGCUGUGGUGCUCAGCAGCCAAAGAUCACAGUUGAUGGUAUGAAGAUGGUUGCAGAGUUUAAAGCAACAAACAAGAAGAAUGGCGAUCAAGAUCAACUCCCUGAACCAGUGGAGCGAAAGCAAAUUCUCUCUGCCGAGAGGGUUCUUAAUGUUCUCAAGCGUAUAAGUGACGAGGAUUGUCUUUUGUUGGGCCUGGAUCCUAAAUAUGCUCGUCCUGAUUGGAUGAUACUGCAAGUCCUUCCAAUUCCUCCUCCGCCUGUGAGACCAUCUGUCAUGAUGGACACUUACUCCAGAAGUGAGGAUGAUUUGACCCAUCAAUUAGCGAUGAUAAUUCGGCAUAAUGAGAAUCUGAGGAGGCAAGAGAGAAAUGGAGUCCCAGCCCACAUUAUCACAGAGUUUGCUCAGUUGUUGCAAUUUCACAUUGCGACAUACUUCGACAAUGAUCUUCCAGGACAACCAAGGGCCACUCAGCGUUCUGGAAGGCCUAUUAAGUCAAUCUGCAGCAGGCUGAAAGCAAAAGAAGGCCGGGUCAGAGGGAACUUAAUGGGGAAGCGUGUUGAUUUCUCAGCUCGGACCGUCAUCACACCAGACCCGAAUAUCAACAUUGAUGAAUUGGGGGUGCCAUGGAGUAUUGCUUUGAAUCUGACAUACCCAGAAACUGUUACUCCAUAUAACAUCGAGAGGUUGAAAGAACUGGUAGAAUAUGGGCCUCACCCUCCCCCAGGUAAGACAGGUGCCAAGUACAUUAUCAGGGAAGAUGGCCAGAGGCUGGAUCUUCGCUAUCUGAAGAAAAGUAGUGAUCAGCAUUUGGAGCUGGGUUACAAGGUGGAAAGGCACCUUGUUGAUGGAGAUUUUGUUCUUUUCAACCGGCAGCCCAGUCUUCACAAAAUGUCUAUCAUGGGGCAUCGCAUCAAAAUCAUGCCCUACUCAACUUUCCGCCUCAACUUAUCUGUCACAUCACCAUACAAUGCAGAUUUUGAUGGGGAUGAAAUGAAUAUGCAUGUUCCCCAGUCAUUUGAAACAAGAGCUGAGGUUUUAGAGUUGAUGAUGGUGCCAAAGUGUAUUGUGUCACCUCAAGCGAAUAAACCUGUUAUGGGUAUUGUCCAGGACACACUUCUUGGCUGUCGAAAAAUUACCAAAAGGGAUACUCUCAUCGAAAAGGAUGUAUUUAUGAACAUCUUAAUGUGGUGGGAAGAUUUUGAUGGGAAGGUCCCUACCCCUGCCAUUUUGAAACCAAAGCCGAUUUGGACUGGCAAACAAGUUUUCAACUUGAUUAUCCCCAAGCAAAUCAAUUUAAUUAGAUUUUCAGCCUGGCAUGAUGCUGAUGCUGAAAAAGAAAGCGGAUAUAUUACUCCCAGCGAUACUAUGGUACGGAUAGAGAAGGGAGAGCUUCUGUCUGGUAUACUUUGCAAAAAAACACUUGGGACAUCAAUGGGAAGUCUUAUUCAUGUUAUUUGGGAAGAGGUAGGGCCAGAUGCUGCGCGCAAGUUCUUGGGUCAUACACAGUGGCUGGUCAACUACUGGCUUCUGCAACAUGGUUUCAGUAUCGGAAUCGGGGAUACGAUUGCAGAUGCAGGUACAAUGAAGAAGAUUAAUGAUACAAUUGCAGAUGCUAAGACGGCUGUGAAUGAGCUUAUCAAGGAAGCGCGUGAGAAGAAGUUGGAACCUGAGCCAGGACGCACAAUGAUGGAAUCAUUUGAAAAUAGAGUGAAUCAGGUUCUUAACAAGGCUCGUGAUGAUGCUGGUAGUAGUGCUCAGAAGAGUUUGUCUGAGAGCAACAAUUUGAAAGCUAUGGUUACUGCAGGCUCAAAAGGCAGUUUCAUUAAUAUUUCGCAGAUGACUGCUUGCGUCGGACAGCAGAAUGUUGAGGGCAAGAGGAUCCCAUUUGGAUUUGCUGGUCGUACAUUGCCCCACUUCUCGCAAAAUGACAACGGUCCCGAAAGCCGUGGAUUCGUGCAGAACUCUUACCUUCGAGGCCUGACACCAGAGGAAUUCUUCUUCCAUGCUAUGGGUGGUAGAGAAGGUUUGAUCGAUACUGCUGUAAAAACUUCUGAGACUGGAUAUAUUCAGCGGAGGCUCGUGAAGGCCAUGGAGGACAUCAUGGUGAAAUAUGAUGGUACCGUGAGGAACUCCCUGGGUGAUGUCAUUCAGUUCUUGUAUGGAGAAGAUGGCAUGGAUGCUGUUUGGAUUGAACCGCAGAAAUUGGACUCCCUGGGGAUGAAAAAGGCCGAGUUUGACAAAGUAUUUCGUCACGAACUGGAUGAUGAGAACUGGAGGCCCACUUACAUGUCGCCUGAACAAGCUGAUGAUUUGAAGACCAUUCGUGAUAUCAGAAUUGUGUUUGAGGUAGAGAUUCAGAAAUUAGAAGCUGACAGAUUACAGCUUGGGACUGAAAUUGCCACAACUGGUGACAUUACAUGGCCUAUGCCUGUCAACCUCAAGCGGCUUAUCUGGAAUGCUCAAAAGACUUUCAAGAUUGAUUUGAGAAGACCUUCUAACAUGCACCCGAUGGAAAUUGUGGAAGCAAUGGAUAAGUUGCAAGAAAGACUCAAGGUUGUCCCAGGAGACGAUGCCAUGAGCAUCGAGGCUCAGAAGAAUGCUACUCUGCUCUUCAAUAUCCUGCUCCGUAGCACAUUUGCUAGUAAGAGGAUAUUGAAAGAAUACAGGCUCACAAGGGAAUCUUUCGAAUGGGUCAUCGGUGAGAUAGAAUCGAGAUUCCACCAGUCUUUGGUAGCUCCUGGUGAGAUGAUUGGAUGCGUAGCUGCACAGUCCAUUGGAGAACCAGCAACUCAGAUGACGCUGAAUACUUUCCAUUAUGCUGGUGUUAGCGCCAAGAAUGUCACCCUUGGCGUACCCAGGUUAAGGGAGAUCAUUAACGUCGCCAAGAAGAUAAAGACCCCGUCGUUGUCUGUUUUCCUAAAGCCUGAGGUGAGCAAGAAGAAAGAAUUGGCCAAGAAUGUCCAGUGUGCCUUGGAGUACACUACGCUACGUAGCGUGACCCAUGCCACCGAGAUAUGGUAUGAUCCUGAUCCUCUAGGAACCACCAUUGAAGAGGAUGUGGAAUUUGUCAAGUCAUAUUAUGAAAUGCCUGAUGAGGAUAUUGACCCGGAUAAGCUGUCUCCUUGGCUGCUGCGUAUCGAACUGAACCGUGAGAUGAUGGUAGAUAAGAGGUUGAGCAUGGCUAAAAUUGCAGAGAAGAUCAGACAUGAAUUUGAUGAUGACUUGUCAUGCAUAUUCAAUGAUGAUAACGCGGAUAAGCUCAUCCUUCGUAUCCGCAUUAAAAAUGAUGAUGAAACUCCAAAACAGGAUGAGGAUGAUGAUGUCUUCCUCAAGAAGGUUGAGAGUAACAUGUUGACUGAGAUGGCCCUUGGAGGCAUUGCAGAUAUUAACAAGGUCUUCAUCAAAGAGAAGAAGGUGAAUAAAUUUGAUGAAAAUGAUGGUUUCACUCAAACAAAAGAGUGGAUGCUUGAUACAGAAGGUGUAAACCUCUUGGCAGUGAUGUGCCAUGAGGAUGUUGACGCUACAAGGACAACGAGUAACCAUCUGAUCGAAGUGAUUGAGGUUCUUGGGAUUGAGGCUGUCCGCAGGUCUCUCUUGGAUGAGCUGAGGGUGGUGAUAUCUUUUGAUGGGUCCUAUGUGAACUACAGGCAUCUGGCCAUUCUCUGCGAUACCAUGACAUACAGAGGUCACCUGAUGGCUAUUACUAGGCACGGUAUCAAUCGUAAUGACACAGGACCUCUCAUGAGAUGUUCUUUUGAAGAAACAGUGGAUAUCUUGCUUGAUGCUGCUGUGUAUGCGGAGUCUGAUUACCUGAGAGGUGUCACCGAGAACAUUAUGCUUGGCCAGCUCGCUCCUAUUGGUACAGGAGGCUGUGGAUUGUAUCUGAAUGAGGAGAUGCUGAAGCAGGCCAUUGAGCUUCAACUCCCGAGCUAUGUUGAAGGUCUGGACUAUGGCUGUGGCAUGGCAUCAGAGCAUUCACCCAUCUCCGGGACACCGUACCAUGAUGGAGGAAUGAUGUCGCCAGUGCUGAGUCCAAAUUUCCGGGCUUCCCCCGUUACAGGUGCUCAGUUCUCGCCAUAUGUUGGGGGCAUGGCAUUCUCUCCCGUCCCAUCAAACUACAGCCAAUCCUAUACGUCUGGCCCUCCUUCCUACAGUCCGACCAGUCUAUCAUACUCGCCAACAUCGCCAAUCUAUAGUCCGGUAUCACCGAUCUGUAGUCCGGCAUCGACAGUUUAUAGUCCAACAUCCCCAGUUUAUAGCCCGACAUCCCUUUCAUAUAGCCCAACAUCGCCAGUUUAUAGUCCAACAUCGCCAGUUUAUAGCCGGACAUCUCUUGCAUACAGCCCCACGUCACCAUCCUAUAGUCCAACAUCGCCACUCUAUAGCCCAACAUCACCAUCAUACAGUCCUACAUUGCCCUCAUCAUACAGCCCUACAUCGCCUGGUUACAGCCCGACGUCACCGAGCUACAGCCCUACUUCACCGAACUACAGCCUGACAUCACCGAGCUACAGCCCUACGUCACCGAACUACAACCUGACAUCACCGAGCUACAACCCUACUUCACCGAACUACUGCCCAGCGNNNNNNNNCUACAGCCCUACUUCACCAAACUACUGCCCGACGUCAGUGAGCUACAGCCCUACUUCACCGAACUACUGCCCAACGUCACCGAGCUACAGCCCUACGUCACCGAGCUACUGCCCGAGGUCACCAAGCUACAGCCCUACGUCACCCUCGUACAGUCCUUCACAUGCUUAUUCUCCAAGCAGCCCAAAGAUGAUGAGCCCGUACAGUGAAGCUCCUCCAAACUACAGCCCUGCCUCGCCGACUUACUCGCCCACCUCACCAUCAUAUGCACAACCAAGCCCAUCGUACAGCCCGACAAGCCUGCACACUACCUCUGGAGGACCUAGCCCAGAUUACAGCCCAACUUCCCCCAACUACAGGUAA
RNAcentral lists this ribosomal RNA (5454 nucleotides) under Triticum aestivum (bread wheat). RNAcentral's name for it is "partial small subunit ribosomal RNA". The record is from RNAcentral. Lineage: Eukaryota; Viridiplantae; Streptophyta; Magnoliopsida; Poales; Poaceae.